GACGCACCGCCUGCAGAUAAGACACGAAAGAUUGGAACAACCGGUGCCUGCACCGACCGGGCCUCGCGCUAUUGCCUUGCGUCCGCCAGUGUUCUGCGUAUCGUGGCUCGACGUGGCUCUGCGUCGUUUCCUGGGAUCUGUUCGAGCUCCUCUCACCGGACACCAUGUACCCGUCAAGCGGCGGCUUCAAUGUGCCGUUCGUGCGCCAGCUGGACGGACCCUUUCACCCCGGCCGCGUCAUCGCCUUCAGCGGCACCAUCCCGCACCAUGCCUCCAGGUUCGAGCUGAACCUGCAGUGCGGCGGCGCGGAGCCCAGCAUGUCGGACAUCGCGCUGCACGUGUCGGUGCGCUUCGACCAGUACUGCGUGGUGCGCAACACCAAGCAGGGCGGCUGGCAGCACGAGGAGCGUGACGGCGGCAUCCCCGGCACCGUGCGCCCCGGCGCCGCCUUCCAGAUGCUGGUGCGCUGCGAGCCCCACGCCUUCAAGAUCGCCUUCAACGGCCAGCACUUCCGGGACUACCGCCACCGCCUGCCCUACCAGCGAGUGACGCACGUGAGCGCGGACGGCAACAUCCAGAUGUACAGCGUGUCCGGGGUGCUGGGGCCCUGCUCCAGCUCCACGCAGCAGACGCACAACCCGGGCGUGCCCCACACCCAGAUGAUCGGCUCCAUCUACCCUGGGCGCUGCCUCCGCGUCAGGGGCUUCAUUCCCCAUAACGCCUACAGGUUCAGCGUGAACCUGGCGACGGGGCCGUCCAUGACCGGGGACGACAUCGCCUUGCACGUGUCCACGCGGCCCUCCGAGGGCAUCGUGGAGAUCAACACCUGUCGGCGCGGCGGCUGGGAGAACGGCCAGCAGCACCGGCCCUGCCCCGUGCGCGCCGGCCAGCACUUCGAGAUGAUUGUCAUGGUGGAGGACUACAACUACAGGAUCGCGUUCAACGGCGUGCACUUCGCCGAGUGGCCGCACCGCCACCCGUACCAGCACGUGAGGAGCGUCAUCGUGGAGGGCACCGUGCAGCUGCAGCUGGUCAGCCUGGAGGGGGAGCCGCGGUCCGGGGGCUACGCGCCGCCGCCGCCACCCUCCUUCUUCCCGUCGCCCUACGACGACCCGCACCACUACCCCAGCCCCUACCCGAUCCUCUACUAGGACAUUCAGACCGGCCGCAGGCAGCCACAGCCUGUAUACGCUGCAUGCGACCCGAUUGGUUUUUGAAUCGUUUUCAAUGUGCAGACGCAAAGUAAAAUAAAGGGCAUCCUUGGGGACUUGCGGUUGUACAAGUCUGUCUCCGCGAGGUCGCGGUGCACGCUGCUUA
Molecule: unclassified non-coding RNA, 1317 nt
Filed under: Thrips palmi
Lineage: Eukaryota; Metazoa; Arthropoda; Insecta; Thysanoptera; Thripidae
Description: 32 kDa beta-galactoside-binding lectin-like, transcript variant X1
Source: RNAcentral